RNAcentral lists this ribosomal RNA (451 nucleotides) under bacterium NC2001. RNAcentral's name for it is "bacterial SSU rRNA". It matches the Rfam family "Bacterial small subunit ribosomal RNA", at positions 28 to 459 of the family's 1533-position model. The record is from RNAcentral.
GAUGAACGCUGGCGGCGUGCCUAACACAUGCAAGUCGAACGGAAAUCAGGCGCUUCGGAGACUUCGGUCAAUGUUUGCCUGGUUUUAGUGGCGGACGGGUGAGUAACGCGUGGAUAACCUGCCUCAUACAGGGGGAUAACAGUUAGAAAUGACUGCUAAUACCGCAUAAGCGCACGGGAUCGCAUGGUCCUGUGUGAAAAACUCCGGUGGUAUGAGAUGGAUCCGCGUCUGAUUAGCUAGUUGGCGGGGUAACAGCCCACCAAGGCGACGAUCAGUAGCCGGCCUGAGAGGGUGAACGGCCACAUUGGGACUGAGACACGGCCCAAACUCCUACGGGAGGCAGCAGUGGGGGAUAUUGCACAAUGGGGGAAACCCUGAUGCAGCGACGCCGCGUGAGUGAAGAAGUAUUUCGGUAUGUAAAGCUCUAUCAGCAGGGAAGAUAAUGACGUAC